AUUGAACGCUGGCGGCAUGCUUUACACAUGCAAGUCGAACGGCAGCGCGGGGGCAACCCUGGCGGCGAGUGGCGAACGGGUGAGUAAUGCAUCGGAACGUAUCCUGUAAUGGGGGAUAACGUAGCGAAAGUUACGCUAAUACCGCAUACGCUCGAGAGAGGAAAGUGGGGAUCGCAAGACCUCACGUUAUAGGAGCGGCCGAUGUCCGAUUAGCUAGUUGGUGGGGUAAAGGCCUACCAAGGCGACGAUCGGUAGCUGGUCUGAGAGGAUGAUCAGCCACACUGGGACUGAGACACGGCCCAGACUCCUACGGGAGGCAGCAGUGGGGAAUUUUGGACAAUGGGCGAAAGCCUGAUCCAGCCAUGCCGCGUGCGGGAAGAAGGCCUC
RNAcentral lists this ribosomal RNA (387 nucleotides) under uncultured bacterium. RNAcentral's name for it is "bacterial SSU rRNA". It matches the Rfam family "Bacterial small subunit ribosomal RNA", at positions 29 to 418 of the family's 1533-position model. The record is from RNAcentral.